AUUUAUUUGUCAACGUCCUAGCUAUUGCAUCUUUGUUAUACCUUUCUCUGCCUUUUGGCUAAGAUUGUGUGUAGCUAUUGCAUCUUUGUUGAAGUUCUGAUCAUGCCUCCAUUUUCGCUAUCUAACUCUCCAUAUUUUUGUGUUUAUCCAGAGCCUCAACCUAUUGGGAAGGAAAAAGGCAGUGCGGCAAAUAUCUCUUGAAUAAACGGGACUUGAGGCUCCUAUUUCAUUGAAGUCCGUGCAUAUCUUAAAUCAUGCUUUUCACAAGUUCGGUACGCUAGAGGGUGAUGAAGGAACACAGACUUGUUUUUCAAUAUCAUCCUUCGAUUAUAAUUUCAGUUUUAGACUAGACAUUAGGUGUUGCGGUGCUCUUAGCAUUAUGGUUAAGCAAAAAGAAACUAUCGCAGAAAGUAUUUUACUCAAAACUUUUUGCUUCAAUGUGAUUAUUUUGUUCUGGAUUAGGAAAUGGAAGAGUAUGCUUGGUUUUGUGAAGUAACAAGAUUCUUAAAUGGAGUUGUAACUUUAUGAACUCUAAA
Nicotiana tabacum (common tobacco) is the source of this 536-nucleotide non-coding RNA. The record is from RefSeq and is a predicted model, not a curated record. Lineage: Eukaryota; Viridiplantae; Streptophyta; Magnoliopsida; Solanales; Solanaceae.